RNAcentral lists this long non-coding RNA (1987 nucleotides) under Equus caballus (horse). Its description in RNAcentral is "lncRNA (ENSECAG00000057417.1)". The record is from RNAcentral. Lineage: Eukaryota; Metazoa; Chordata; Mammalia; Perissodactyla; Equidae.
UCCCUCCCAGGCUCAAAGAAAUCUAGGAGGCCACUGGCAGCCCCCACAGCCCAGAAAUAGCAGGCCAGCUGGUGGGCGGCUGACCCUGAGGCCCAGGGCCUGAGCUGAGGCCUGUUGCCUGGCAACAGGCAGCAUCCCACACUGUGGGUGGCCAAGGGUUCCGGUGGUGGCCCACGUCACCAGCCCAGCCGAGAUCUGCCUGGGCGCUGCGAGGGCAGGUGGAGAGUCCUUGGAGGCCUGGGAGCAAAGCUCCGUCUGCAGGGGAUUUUCAUGUGGUUGUCCCCGCCCCCAGCCUCCAGCAUCUCCUAGACGUGCCCAGGUUCUUCUGGGUCGUUAUUACUAUCUUUAAUCCUCACGAGAACUCAGCACACAGCCAUCAUCAUUCCCCCUCUGCACAGUUGAAGACAAAGACUCAGAGAGGUUCAGCAACUGUGCCAAGCCCACACAGCUGCUCCACAUCACGCCCGGGAUCGGCUACCGUCAGCUCUUGUCUGGACCAUUGCCGCAGCCUCACUGUCUCCCUGCUCAACUCCAAGUCAUUCUCUGCUCAGCAGAGGAGAGUUCCUAAAACUGCAAACCGAACAGCACAUCACGCCCUGUUUAGAGUCGGAGGACUUCCUAUCCUUGGACUCAAACUCACUCUCAAACUCCUGCCCGCGUCCCCGCAAGCCCCUUGCCCACUUCACUCCCUCUGCAGGAACGAGGAAAUGACCUCCCACAUCUUUGAGUGGUGGGUUCCUUCCUCGUCCUUCUGGCCUCAGCCCCAGCGCCACCUCCUUGGAGAGAUGCUCUCUGACUACCUGGUCUGAAUAAGUCUUGACCCCAGCCUGAGGUCGUCUUGAUCACCCUGUGACAUCACUGUAUUUGUUGGCUGGCUUUUUUCUUUGUCUCCCCUCUCCUCAGCCCUGGUUCAUGAAAGCAGGGACCACAUCCGUCUGGCUCUGUGUCCUAAGAAUCGAGAGCAGGGCUUGGCACAGAGUGGCCACUUAACGAACGCUUGUGAAUAAGUGAGAGGGUCGAAUGAAUAAGUGCACCCAUAGACUCUCACUCCGGACACUCCAGCACAUGCUCAGACCCUCUCCCACACUUGCAAACACUCACACUCAUCCACACCUGGCUCACACCUUCAGACACUCCCAGACGCAUCCUGCCAAGAAUCUCUGCCAUGCUCAGGAGCCUGUAACCAGUGACGCUGCCGCCCCCUCCUGGAAAGAUUGGGGAAGUGCAGCCAGGGUCUGGCCCCGGGAAGUCAAACCAAGCGCGGGAGAGAAGCGGGAAAUGCAUGACUCAGGCGAGUUGCUCCCCGAUUCCCCUUUCUAAGCCAAAUUCAGGGUCAUUGUCACAGGCCUGCAGGGUAGAUGUGUAAUCAAUGUUUGUACCCUCAGAGGUUUGGAAUAGCAUGUGAAAGGCUUCGAAUGCCAGGGUGAAGCCUGGAUUUUGUCCUGUAGUUUACAGGGAGCCAUCGUGAGUUUUUGAGAAAGAGAAGGACAGGAUCAGAACUGUGCUUUGGAAAGAUAAACCAGACCGUGUGCAUUCGUUUGUUUAUUUGUUCAUUCAUUCAUUCCUCUAACAGUCUCAGAAUCCGGCAGUGAGCAAACAGAGGUGCCAUUGGCCUUCAUGGAGCAUGGUCUGGGGUAGCAUGUACAGCAGUGGAGGUUCGGACACAGAGGGGGCGUCACUCCUCUCCUAGGCAUGCCAAUAGCAUCCAGAUUGGUCCUAAACUUAAGGAAGACUGAGCCAAGGCCAGCAGAACUUUUUCCAUCUAUAAACGUGACAUCAGGUAAUAGGGUCAUCUGAUUCAAAAUUCAGGAGUACCGAAAGACGGUGGCAUAACAUUCACACCUUGCUUGUUUCCCUUCCCAUCCUGGAGAGCCUUUGUAUCAGCACUGCAUUUCCCGUCUGACUUCUGCAAACAGAGCAGGUGGUAAAGGCAGGAGAACUGGCAGUAAAAGAUGGGUCCUCUGCAUGAGACUCUUCCUUAUGUGGC